UGCAAGUCGAGCGGUAACAGAUCCAGCUUGCUGGAUGCUGACGAGCGGCGGACGGGUGAGUAAUGCAUAGGAAUCUGCCCGAUAGUGGGGGAUAACCUGGGGAAACCCAGGCUAAUACCGCAUACGUCCUACGGGAGAAAGGGGGCUCCGGCUCCCGCUAUGGGAUGAGCCUAUGUCGGAUUAGCUAGUUGGUGAGGUAACGGCUCACCAAGGCCACGAUCCGUAGCUGGUCUGAGAGGAUGAUCAGCCACAUCGGGACUGAGACACGGCCCGAACUCCUACGGGAGGCAGCAGUGGGGAAUAUUGGACAAUGGGGGAAACCCUGAUCCAGCCAUGCCGCGUGUGUGAAGAAGGCCCUCGGGUUGUAAAGCACUUUCAGCGAGGAAGAACGCCUAGCGGUUAAUACCCGCUAGGAAAGACAUCACUCGCAGAAGAAGCACCGGCUAACUCCGUGCCAGCAGCCGCGGUAAUACGGAGGGUGCAAGCGUUAAUCGGAAUUACUGGGCGUAAAGCGCGCGUAGGUGGCUUGAUAAGCCGGUUGUGAAGCCCCGGGCUCAACCUGGGAACGGCAUCCGGAACUGUCAAGCUAGAGUGCAGGAGAGGAAGGUAGAAUUCCCGGUGUAGCGGUGAAAUGCGUAGAGAUCGGGAGGAAUACCAGUGGCGAAAGCGGCCUUCUGGACUGACACUGACACUGAGUGCGAAAGCGUGGGUAGCAAACAGGAUUAGAUACCCUGGCUAGUCCACGCCGUAUACGAUGUCGACCAGCCGUUGGGUGCCUAGCGCACUUUGUGGCGAAGUUAACGCCGAUAAGUCGACCGCCUGGGGGAGU
This 829-nucleotide ribosomal RNA is filed under the name Vreelandella aquamarina. RNAcentral describes it as "bacterial SSU rRNA". It matches the Rfam family "Bacterial small subunit ribosomal RNA", at positions 56 to 881 of the family's 1533-position model. The record is from RNAcentral. Lineage: Bacteria; Pseudomonadati; Pseudomonadota; Gammaproteobacteria; Oceanospirillales; Halomonadaceae.